This 247-nucleotide long non-coding RNA is filed under the name Zostera marina. RNAcentral describes it as "long non-coding RNA (ZMAR_LNC003314)". The record is from RNAcentral. Lineage: Eukaryota; Viridiplantae; Streptophyta; Magnoliopsida; Alismatales; Zosteraceae.
GUUCGGAGCGCCGGCUCGCUCGUCUUCGUGGAUAUGAGGCACCACGGUCCACUAUCAGAGUCUCCUCGAUGUUAACAUUGAGAGGAGGAGGGACCCCUUCAUUUUCCUCGGGCACAUGUACUUUGCCCUUCCCGAUGGUGCGCCUUCUCUUCCUCUUCAGAGAAGGACCUUGGCUCGGGUUCAGUCCCGACACAAUCCGGCCCUCCGCGCUCACGACCAAUGGUGCGGUGCGACGCGCGGAAGAAUC